This 443-nucleotide ribosomal RNA is filed under the name uncultured bacterium. RNAcentral describes it as "partial 16S ribosomal RNA". It matches the Rfam family "Bacterial small subunit ribosomal RNA", at positions 338 to 795 of the family's 1533-position model. The record is from RNAcentral.
CCUACGGGUGGCAGCAGUCGAGAAUCAUUCACAAUGGGGGAAACCCUGAUGGUGCGACGCCGCGUGAAGGAAGAAGGCUUUCGGGUUGUAAACUUCUUUUCUCAGGGACGAAGCAAGUUACGGUACCUGAGGAAUAAGCCACGGCUAACUACGUGCCAUCAGCCGCGGGAAUACGUAGGUGGCAAGCGUUAUCCGGGUUUACUGGGUGUAAAGGGCGUGUUGGGGGGACUGUAAGUCAGAUGUGAAAACCAUGGGCUCCACCUAUGGCCUGCCUUUGAAACUGUAGUUCUUGAGUACGGGAGAGGCAGACGGAAUGCCUAGUGUAGCGGUGAAAUGCAUAGAUAUUAGGAGGAACACCAGUGGCGAAGGCGGCAUGCUGGACACCAACUGACGCUGAGGCGCGAAAGCGUGGGGAGCAAACAGGAUUAGAUACCCGUGUAGUC